GGAUAUUUUUCAGAUAAUUGCACUUGGGAGAUCAUUGAACUUUUUGAUUGUGUGAUUUAGUGUUUCUCUUUAAAAUGAAAUUUGAGAGCAAGAAUAUGGAGUUGGGGAUAUCCUACUCAUCUCCUUCCAAAGAAACAAGCAUUUGGCAGCCUUUCACAGAAAAAAAGCACAGUUGUGAGUGCACUGGAAUUCAGGUCAGAGGUAGCAAACCUCAGGAUAGCCCAAGAAUGAAGACGGCUGCUUUAAAUACUUAUUAUAUUGGGUAAUGACAGAAGAAAGCCACUGUACUAGAAAGGGCGUAGCCCAGACUUGCUGUAAGAGGGUGAUUUAUGCACCAGACCAUAGGCUGACACUGAUGACCAAGGACACCUGGGGCUGAGCUGUACACCCAGGGAAGCAGGUAAGUGUCAGGGAAGGGUGUGUGUGAGAACACCAAGCUGGUUGUGCCCACAGGGAGGGGGACUUGCUAAUACAUUGUCAGGAACAUCACAAAGUGAGGUUGUACUUUUAUUUCUUUUGCAAUUACGUAUUGAGUGUGCACAGUACUGUAGGGGCUGGGAGGGGAUAAAAGAGCUGAAUGGCUUUCUCUAGAAUGGUGGCCUGUCUCCUGAGUAGUAACUUGCUGACCCUGCCCCUGAAGUGAAAAAGAGGGUGAAGGGCUACUUGCUCAAGCUUGUUCUCUUUUCUUACCUCUUCCCCCUCUGUGGUUUCCUCUGCCGCUGAACAGGGCCCAGGCAGCCUGCCAUGAGAUCGUGCUCCAAGGACCGGCCGUUCUGCUGGACCCACGGGCUCCUGGUAUUCAUCAGCCUGCUCCUCAGUGUCUGCAGCUCUGCAGCCAACACUUCCGGAGCGCAUGGCUCUGCUGUGAAGGAUUCUGAAAACCACAUUUAUCUGAAGCGCAUCCGAGGAGGUUCUGUCUUGUUUAAUGUGACCGAGAAGCCCAUGGCAGAUGCAGGAGCCAAAAUACAGGAGGUUUUAUGGGGUUUGGGCACUCCGUCAAAGUACAUGCGGCUGCUGCAAGUCCGUAGAGGAGCCGACUCUCCCACCUGGUUUAACCUCCAGGACAAGUUCAAGCAGAGGGUCCAUGUGCCCAGCCUGUGGUCUCUGAGGAUUGAGAACCUGGCCCCUGAAGACAGUGGGCCAUACGUGGCCAUGACCAGCUUAACUGAUGGACAAACGCUUGGUCACGUUUUCUACCUGACUGUCUAUGAGCCUGUGCCUCACCCUGAGAUCCUGGCCAUGUCACUGUCUAUCACACCAGGCCUGUGUAACAUCACUCUGGAGUGUAGGGUUCCAGGGGCCACCCAGGAUCUGAAUGUGACUUGGGAGAGCAAGGGCCUCUUCAGUGAGCUGGAACAGAGAGACACACCAGGAUCAACCGCCAAGCUUUGGACCCUGGCUGUGAGCCUGCCCCUGAGCCAGCAGAUCGGCGAUGUCACCUGUGUGGUCAGCAACCAGGUGGAUCAGAAAGCUGCGACCUUAGACCUUGGGAAAGUCUGUGCCCAAGGUUUACACAAACAGGAUGUGACUAGACUGCUGCCAGGCAUCCUAGGGGCUGCUGUGGCUGUGCUGUUAGUCCUGGGAAGUGGGCUGUAUGUUUUGAAGACAUGUCAGAAGAAGAAGAAGAUGGUGAUGGAAAUAAAAAGGAGUGGAGGAUUGCAGAAGAACCAUGGGGUUGAUGAUGGUGGCAUCCCCUUUGAGACGCUCAGCCAGCAAGUGCAAGGUGAGGGCAAGGACAAGGUGAGUGCCAGGGCACUGGCCACCCUGGGAACUCCCACGUCUCUCUGCCCAGCCUUGGGCUUCCAAUUCCAGGAGCUGUCACUUCUGGUCCAACUGCCUAUUUAUCUAUAUCUGGAUAAUCAACAGUAUUGA
Callithrix jacchus (white-tufted-ear marmoset) is the source of this 1872-nucleotide long non-coding RNA. Lineage: Eukaryota; Metazoa; Chordata; Mammalia; Primates; Cebidae. The record is from Ensembl.